Molecule: ribosomal RNA, 602 nt
Filed under: Cellulomonas sp. MS-23
Lineage: Bacteria; Bacillati; Actinomycetota; Actinomycetes; Micrococcales; Cellulomonadaceae
Description: bacterial SSU rRNA
Rfam family: Bacterial small subunit ribosomal RNA
Source: RNAcentral
GGCGACGACGGGUAGCCGGCCUGAGAGGGCGACCGGCCACACUGGGACUGAGACACGGCCCAGACUCCUACGGGAGGCAGCAGUGGGGAAUAUUGCACAAUGGGCGAAAGCCUGAUGCAGCGACGCCGCGUGAGGGAUGAAGGCCUUCGGGUUGUAAACCUCUUUCAGCAGGGAAGAAGCGCAAGUGACGGUACCUGCAGAAGAAGCGCCGGCUAACUACGUGCCAGCAGCCGCGGUAAUACGUAGGGCGCAAGCGUUGUCCGGAAUUAUUGGGCGUAAAGAGCUCGUAGGCGGUUUGUCGCGUCUGGUGUGAAAACUCGAGGCUCAACCUCGAGCUUGCAUCGGGUACGGGCAGACUAGAGUGCGGUAGGGGAGACUGGAAUUCCUGGUGUAGCGGUGGAAUGCGCAGAUAUCAGGAGGAACACCGAUGGCGAAGGCAGGUCUCUGGGCCGCAACUGACGCUGAGGAGCGAAAGCAUGGGGAGCGAACAGGAUUAGAUACCCUGGUAGUCCAUGCCGUAAACGUUGGGCACUAGGUGUGGGGCUCAUUCCACGAGUUCCGUGCCGCAGCAAACGCAUUAAGUGCCCCGCCUGGGGGAGUAC